GGGUCGGUAGCUCAGUCGGUAGAGCAGUGCCCUUUUAAGGCAUUGGUCAGGGGUUCGAGUCCCCUCCGACCUACCA
This 76-nucleotide transfer RNA is filed under the name Armatimonadota bacterium. Its description in RNAcentral is "Armatimonadetes bacterium (hot springs metagenome) tRNA-Lys". It matches the Rfam family "tRNA". From Rfam's summary of the family: Transfer RNA (tRNA) molecules are approximately 80 nucleotides in length. Their secondary structure includes four short double-helical elements and three loops (D, anti-codon, and T loops). Lineage: Bacteria; Bacillati; Armatimonadota. The record is from RNAcentral.